UACGUAGGGGGCUAGCGUUGUCCGGAAUCAUUGGGCGUAAAGCGCGUGUAGGCGGUCCGGUAAGUCCGCUGUGAAAGUCGGGGGGCUCAACCCUCGGAUGCCGGUGGAUACUGUCGGGCUGGAGUCCGGAAGAGGCGAGUGGAAUUCCUGGUGUAGCGGUGAAAUGCGCAGAUAUCAGGAGGAACACCAAUGGCGAAGGCAGCUCGCUGGGACGGUACUGACGCUGAGACGCGAAAGCGUGGGGAGCAAACAGG
RNAcentral lists this ribosomal RNA (254 nucleotides) under uncultured bacterium. RNAcentral describes it as "partial 16S ribosomal RNA". It matches the Rfam family "Bacterial small subunit ribosomal RNA", at positions 524 to 776 of the family's 1533-position model. The record is from RNAcentral.